This 253-nucleotide ribosomal RNA is filed under the name uncultured bacterium. Its description in RNAcentral is "partial 16S ribosomal RNA". It matches the Rfam family "Bacterial small subunit ribosomal RNA", at positions 524 to 776 of the family's 1533-position model. The record is from RNAcentral.
UACGUAGGGGGCAAGCGUUGUCCGGAAUCAUUGGGCGUAAAGAGCGUGUAGGCGGCUUGGUAAGUCCGCUGUGAAAGUCCAGGGCUCAACCCUGGAAAGCCAGUGGAAACUGCCAAGCUAGAGUCCGGAAGAGGCGAGUGGAACUCCUGGUGUAGCGGUGAAAUGCGCAGAUAUCAGGAAGAACACCAAUGGCGAAGGCAGCUCGCUGGGACGCGACUGACGCUGAGACGCGAAAGCGUGGGGAGCAAACAGG